UUCGGCGUAGGCGUGUCGCGUGCUAUGGUCGCGCCUCGUCAAAUUGUCAGACUCCGUCCUCGCGUCAAGACUCGAACUGACAGGCUCUGAUACGUGUUCUGAAGUAUUCCCUUCAUUCCUAAAUCUACACUCCUGUUAAAAAAAUCAAACAUAAACUUUUUUAAAACCACGCAACAAACUGUGCUCAGGAAAACCAUGACCCUCCGAUCAAACUAACUUAAACACAUCCUAAUGUCCAUAUCUUUACCUAUACUAUACCUCUUUACCUAAAAAAGCCCCUGUAAUUUUUAUUAUUCAACCCGCGCUUCAUCAUUUAUC
This 318-nucleotide long non-coding RNA is filed under the name Hordeum vulgare. RNAcentral describes it as "long non-coding RNA (HVUL_LNC001401)". Lineage: Eukaryota; Viridiplantae; Streptophyta; Magnoliopsida; Poales; Poaceae. The record is from RNAcentral.